RNAcentral lists this ribosomal RNA (407 nucleotides) under uncultured bacterium. Its description in RNAcentral is "partial 16S ribosomal RNA". It matches the Rfam family "Bacterial small subunit ribosomal RNA", at positions 28 to 526 of the family's 1533-position model. The record is from RNAcentral.
GACGAACGCUGGCGGCAGGCCUAACACAUGCACGUCGAGCGGAGCGGCGGACGGGUGAGUAAUGCCUAGGAAUCUGCCUGGUAGUGGGGGAUAACGUCCGGCAACGGGCGCUAAUACCGCAUACUAUCAGAUGAGCCUAGGUCGGAUUAGCUAGUUGGUGGGGUAAAUGCCUACCAAGGAGACGAUCCGUAACUGGUCUGAGAGGAUGAUUAGUCACACUGGAGCUGAGACACGGUCCAGAUUCGUACGGGAGGCAUCAGUGGUGAAUAUUGGACAAUGGGCGAAGGCCUGAUCCAGCCAUGCCGCGUGUGUGAAGAAGGUCUUCGGAUUGUAAAGCACUUUAAGUUGGGAGGCGUUACCAACAGAAUAAGCACCGGCUAACUUCGUGCCAGCAGCCGCGGUAAUUC